UUUGUUGGAGAGUUUGAUCCUGGCUCAGGACGAACGCUGGCGGCGUGCUUAACACAUGCAAGUCGAGCGGAAAGGCCCUUUCGGGGGUACUCGAGCGGCGAACGGGUGAGUAACAC
This 116-nucleotide ribosomal RNA is filed under the name Actinomycetes bacterium. Its description in RNAcentral is "Actinobacteria bacterium partial 16S ribosomal RNA". It matches the Rfam family "Bacterial small subunit ribosomal RNA", at positions 1 to 116 of the family's 1533-position model. Lineage: Bacteria; Bacillati; Actinomycetota; Actinomycetes. The record is from RNAcentral.